AGCAAAAUGAUGAGACUGGAACACCUGAAUGUUAUCAUGUGGAGAGCACACAUAUGGUCUUCAAAUUUCUCUGGUUGCU
Zea mays is the source of this 79-nucleotide non-coding RNA. The record is from Rfam. NCBI's taxonomy places the organism in Eukaryota, Viridiplantae, Streptophyta, Magnoliopsida, Poales, Poaceae.